Molecule: transfer RNA, 95 nt
Filed under: Yarrowia lipolytica
Lineage: Eukaryota; Fungi; Ascomycota; Dipodascomycetes; Dipodascales
Description: tRNA-Glu
Source: RNAcentral
GUAUCUGGCCGAGUGGUCUAAGGCGCUAGCUCAAGGUGCCACUUGGCAUAAUAUCUUGGUCUCUUCGGAGGAGAGAUUUCGAAUCUCUCGGCUGU